This 504-nucleotide ribosomal RNA is filed under the name uncultured bacterium. Its description in RNAcentral is "SSU rRNA". It matches the Rfam family "Bacterial small subunit ribosomal RNA", at positions 26 to 518 of the family's 1533-position model. The record is from RNAcentral.
AGGACGAACGCUGGCGGCGCGCUUAACACAUGCAAGUCGAGCGAGAACCGGACCUUCGGGUCCGGGGACAGCGGCGAACGGGUGAGUAACACGUGAGUAAUCCACCCUUGGCACCGGAAUAGCCCGGGGAAACCCGGAUUAAUGCCGGAUGGCCCGACAGCCUCUCGGGGCGGUCGGAAAAGAUAGCUUCGGCCUUCGGCCAAGGACGAGCUCGCGGCGGAUUAGCUUGUUGGCGGGGUAACGGCCCACCAAGGCGACGAUCCGUAGCUGGUCUGAGAGGACGAUCAGCCACACUGGGACUGAGACACGGCCCAGACUCCUACGGGAGGCAGCAGUGGGGAAUCUUGCGCAAUGGGCGAAAGCCUGACGCAGCGACGCCGCGUGAGGGAAGAAGGCCUUCGGGUUGUAAACCUCUUUCAGGAGGGACGAAGCCACUCGGGUUAAUAGCCCAGAGGGUGACGGUACCUCCAGAAGAAGCCCGGCUAACUACGUGCCAGCAGCCGC